AUUGCUAUUACCAUUAUCAUCAUACAUUGUAUAAUGAGGUAUAAAUCCAUAAGCUAUUGAAUGCAUGCGUAUAUAUUAUAUGAGCUAUAUGAUAUAUAUGAAUUAUAGAAUGAUAACAACAAUGAUUGUGCUGUAUUUUACUGUGAAGAUGUUGCCCUGUGACGUAGGAUUUAUUGUAGGUUGUGCCAUUGUCCACUACACACACACACACACACACACAUACACACACACACCUUCGGAUCGAUAUUUUGAUCAAUACAGGAUAAUCGAUUACGGAUGGAACGUAGCCUGUAAAAAAAAAAAUUUGUUCAAAAUAUGAAAUAUAAUAGGAAAGAAAAACGAAAAACGAAUAAAAAAAGAAACAAAAUUCCAUCUUGUUAUGGGCAUAUUUUGAACGAGAAAACAAACGGACUGAAAUAGAGAGAAAAGAAAGAGAGAAAGAAAGAGUGUAUGUGUUGUCACUGUUAUACAUAUAUGAUAUCGGUUAUAACGAUUUAACGAUUGGCUUAUUAUUAUAAUACGCAAGAGCUGGCUGAGAAAAAAAAAGAUAAACGGUUGAAAUAAUGUUACAAAAGAAAGAAAAAAAAUAAUUGAGAUUGUCAUAUCAAGGUUGGUUAUUUAA
Molecule: long non-coding RNA, 622 nt
Organism: Diprion similis
Lineage: Eukaryota; Metazoa; Arthropoda; Insecta; Hymenoptera; Diprionidae
Exons: 2
Source: RefSeq, a predicted model, not a curated record